RNAcentral lists this ribosomal RNA (460 nucleotides) under uncultured bacterium. Its description in RNAcentral is "partial 16S ribosomal RNA". It matches the Rfam family "Bacterial small subunit ribosomal RNA", at positions 338 to 795 of the family's 1533-position model. The record is from RNAcentral.
CCUACGGGAGGCAGCAGUGAGGAAUAUUGGUCAAUGGCCGAGAGUCUGAACCAGCCAAGUCGCGUGAAGGAAGACUGCCCUACGGGUUGUAAACCUCUUUUGUCUGGGAACAAAGUGUGUCACGUGUGGGCUUUUGUGUGUACCAUAUGAAUAAGCAUCGGCUAACUCCGUGCCAGCAGCCGCGGUAAUACGGAGGAUGCGAGCGUUAUCCGGAUUUAUUGGGUUUAAAGGGUGCGUAGGUGGGUUGUUAAGUCAGUGGUGAAAGUCUGCGGCUCAACCGCAGGAGUGCAGUUGAAACUGGCGGUCUAGAGUACGGUAGAGGUGGGCGGAAUGCGUGGUGUAGCGGUGAAAUGCUUAGAUAUCACGAAGAACUCCGAUUGCGAAGGCAGCUUACUGGACCGCAACUGACACUGAGGCACGAAAGCGUGGGUAUCGAACAGGAUUAGAUACCCGUGUAGUC